RNAcentral lists this long non-coding RNA (10888 nucleotides) under Olea europaea (common olive). RNAcentral describes it as "long non-coding RNA (OEUR_LNC003965)". The record is from RNAcentral. Lineage: Eukaryota; Viridiplantae; Streptophyta; Magnoliopsida; Lamiales; Oleaceae.
ACUUAAUUUCAGCAGCACCGAUUACUCAAUUACAUCAAUAAUUAGGGAGAAAACCACAUAUAAAUGAGGGGAAUGAGCACGUUACCAGCAUCCAGAAAAUUGGGAGAUUCCUUGGGAGAGUGUGGACCUCUCGAAUGUCCAUUGAUCUUGUUAAUUUUUCUUUUUAUUAUUGAAUAAAGAAUCUGCUUAUCUUAUAGCAGGUUUAUUCCUUUGUAAUCUCCAUUUUAGCGGUGGAAAUUAUCAUAAUAAAAUUCUUAUCAUGUUUGGAUCUAUCACUGGUAUCAGAGCUGUUACGAUCGGGAUGGUGAAUUUAUCAGAUCGUGUGAGAGAGUUGGAAGGGGUUCAUCGGCAAUUACAGGUCAGAUGGAAGAAAUGCAAGUGCAAUUGAAGAGGGUACAAAAUAUUGAGAAAAACAUGGCAAUCAUUCUCGAGAAAGUUUCCUUCGUGAGAUCAAAAUGGGAGGAAGUAGAAAGUGAGAAAAAAUGCAAGGAUAUCGGAAGAGGGGAGGAUUCAAAGUGCACUCUGCAUUCUAAAAAUUCCCCAGGUUUGGAGACAAGCAAUCGAGUCGGAAGUGGUGGUUCGGGAGAAAAUUGGAGACCCGAACUAAAGGGGAGGAGGCUGGAGAUGCCUGUGUUCUUGGGAAAGAAUCCAGACGACUAGAUCUUCAGGGCGGAAUGUUAUUUUGUGGUGAAUCAGUUGACAGAGGUGGAGAAAUUAGAGACAGCAGCACUGUGUUUCGAAGGUGAUGCACUCGCCUAGUACCAGUAGGUGCAGAAGAGAAAAGGGGUAAGAAAUUGGGAAGAGUUGUAAUUGAACAAAGAACUGGGAAUUUUUCUGUUAUAUUAUUCAUUGGAAAUCACGAUAUAUAUACAUGUACAAUCUCUCUAAGGUAUGCUAAUCUCUCUAGUUAAUUAUGCUAAUUUAGCUACUGAAAUUAGGCUAAUUAGAGACUAAUUAGGCUACUGUAAUUAGGCCUAAUUAGAGACUAAUUAGCUCGUAAUGUUAGCCUAUUAUUCUGUAACACUCUCCCUCAAACUGGAGCAUAGAUAUUAAUCAUGCCCAGCUUGUUACAAAGAUACUCAACCCUAAUCCCAUUUAAUGCCUUUGUGAAGAUAUCCCCAAGUUGCUCUCCAGUCUUCACAUAACUAGUAGAGAUUGUAUUUUCCUGGAUUUUCUCACGAAUGAAAUGACAGUCAACCUCAAUGUGUUUAGUCAUUUCAUGGUAUACCGGAUUUGAGACGAUAUGAAGGGCAGCUUGGUUGUCACACCAGAGUUUUGCUGGUACCGAAGGCUUCAAUCCAACCUCAGCUAGAAAAUGUUGUAUCCACAAAAUUUCACAUGUAGUCUGGGCUAUGGCUCUGUACUCCGAUACGACAUUGUGCUUCUUACUCCUCCAAGACAUAAGGUUUCCACCAACGAAGAUGCAUAUCCUGUAGUAGACCGUCUAUCAAUUUUAGAUCCAGCUCAAUCAGCAUCUGCAAAGCCUUCAAUGCAAAAAUGUCCGUGAUUGCUAUACACUAUACCAAGGCCAAGAGCUCUUUUUAGGUAACACGGGAUCUGUUCCAAUGCUGUCCAAUGUUUUACUGUAGGCGCAAACAUAAAUUGGCUAACAACACUGACAGCAUAAGCUAUAUCUGGACGAGUCGUUGUGAGAUAAUUUAGUUUCCCAACUAGUCUCCUGUACAUUUCUGGAUCAUCAAAGAAAUUACCAUCAUCUUUUGUAAGAUGUACAUUAGGAACCAUUGGAGUGUUGCAUGGCUUGGCUCCCAUCUUUCUGGUUUCUGCCAGCAGAUCAAGUACAUACUUUCUUUGAGACAAGAAUAUCCAUUUUUUGCUUCUUGUUACUUCUAUUUCGAGAAAAUAUUUUAGUUGGUCCAAGUCUUUUGUGUGAAAUUUGGUAUGCAGAAAUAACUUGAGAGAGGAGAUUCCUGCACAAUCAUCUCCUGUAAUGAUAAUGUCAUCAACAUAAACAACAAGAAGAAUAAUGCCAACUGCUGACUGUUUGUAGAAGACUGAGUGAUCACAUUUGCUCUUCUUCAACCCAAAAUCCUGAGCUACUUUACUGAACUUGCCAAACUAGGCACGGGGACUCUGUUUUAGACCAUACAGAGAUUUUUUCAGAUGAUAGACUUUCCCAUACUCCCCCUGAGCAACAAAUCCAGGUGGUUGCUCCAUAUACACCUCUUCCUGGAGAUCACCAUGAAGGAAUGCAUUCUUGAUAUCCAACUGGUGUAAGGGCCAAUCUUGGGAUGCGACAAUGGAUAUAAAUAGGCGGACAGAGGUAAGUUUGGCCACCGGAGAGAAGGUAUCCGAAUAAUCCACUCCAUAAGUCUGAGCAAAUCAUUUUGCAACAAGUCUAGCUUUAAGUCUUGCUACAGAACCAUUUGGAUUGACCUUGAUAGCAAAGACCCAUUUGCAUCCCACAGCUUUCUUACCUUUAGGCAGGUCUACCAACUCCCAUGUCUGAUUUUCAUCUAGAGCGUUUAUCUCCUCAAACAUUGCAUUCUUCCAUUCAGGAUGACUCAAGGCUUCUUUUACCGUUCUAGGCACAGAGAUUGAAUCUAAAAAGGUAAUUAAAGAACUAGACACAAGAGACAGAUGGUCGUAGGAAAUGAAGUUAGCUAUGGGAUAAAUAGAUUUAGGGAGUGUAUACUGGCGUUUACCUUUACGAAGACUAAUGGGAAGGUCAAGGUCGUUUGGAGAAUCAGAUGACGCAGUAGCCGGUGCAGGACAUAUAUCAUUGGUCUCUUGCCUUCUGGAAUAAACGUGGAUAACAGGCGGCUUUACUUGAGUAGGAGGUUGCUCAUUAGAGGUUCCGGGAGAUGUAAGAGAAGCGCCAUCAUCUGAUUGCUCAAUAGGAGCACUUAGAUGUGUGAUUUGGUAGAUUAGCCACUCAUCUUUCUCUCCCUGACUUGUAAAGAUGGAGGGAGAGGAGAAGAAUGGUGCAUUUUCUGAAAAGAUCACAUCAGUAGAAACUAGAUAUUUAUGGAGAUCAGGUGAGUAGCAUCGAUACCCUUUUUGAAGACGAGAAUAUCCUAGAAAAGCACACUUCAAGGCUUUUGGAUCUAGUUUAGUAAUGGAUGGCCUUACAUCACGAACGUAACAAGUGCUUCCAAAUACCCGUGGUUCCACUGGAAAUAGUGACUUGUUUGGAAAUAGAAUACUAUAUGGAAUAUCCCCGUCAAGUACUGUAGAUGGCAUGCGAUUAAUCAGAAAACAUGCUGUAGAGACGGCAUUAGCCCAGAACUGCUUAGGAACCUUCGUUUGAAACAAAAGAGCUCGAGCUGUUUCAAGUAGAUGUCUAUACUUUCUCUCAGUAACUCCAUUUUGAGGAGGAGUAUCAAUACAAGAGGAUUGAUGAAUAAUCCCAUGUUGAGUCAUGUAAGUCUGGAAUGAGUCUGACAUAUAUUUUUUUGCAUUAUCACUUCUUAGUAUAUGCACAGAAGUAUUAAAUUGGGUUUUAAUUUCAGCAUAAAAGGUACAAAAAUGAGAGAACACUUCAGAUCGAUUUUUCAUAAAGUAAAUCUAUGUCAUUCGAGAAAAAUCAUCCACAAAAGUAAUAAAAUAUCUAAACCCAGUUUUAGACACAACAGGACAUGGUCCCCAAACGUCUGAAUGAACCAACUCAAAAGCGGACUCAGCUCGUUUAUUAAUUCUCGGACCUAAUGAGCUACAGUGAUGUUUUGCAAAAUGACAUGACUCAUAAUCUAGUGAAGAUACAUCGUGGAACUGAGGGCAUAGUUUCUUCAAUGUAGACAGAGAUGGAUGUCCAAACUGACAAUGUGCUAUAACUGGGGAGCUGGUACUGGAACAAGCAACUGAUCGAGGCACCCACGUAUCAAGAAUAUAGAGACCAUCAGAUACAUGUCCUUUACCAAUAAUAUGCUUUUUCAUAAGAUCCUGAAAAAGGCAAUGAUCAGGAAAGAAUGAGAUACAAUAAUUAAGAUCCUUGGUAAGUCUACUUACAAAGAUCAAAUUAAAAGCGAGUUUUGGUAGACUCAGAACAGAUGACAAGGUAAUAGAGGAAGUUGGUUUAACAGUCCCAGAUCCCACAAUGUUAUAGGUUGACCCAUCAGCUAUGGUAACAGGAGAGGGAGCUUUGUGUGAUCGAAAGCUAGAGCAGGUACUAGAAUUACCUGUCAUGUGAUAUGUGGCCCCUGAAUCAAUUACCUAUUUCUUUGAAGAGGAGAUAAGACAUGUUUUACCUGAUUCGGCAAGGGCAGUAACUGGAGUGGAUUCCUUCAGUGAUUCUUGAUACUGAGAGAAUUUGGCAUACUCAUCACCUGAUAUCAUAAUAGUUUUCUCAAAAGAUGAACUAGGAGCAGCAGCAACAUUGGCGGUCUGAGUUCUCUGAUUGCAAUUCUGUAAUUUCCUAUAGUAUGGCUUGGUGUGGCCUGGUUCAUGGCAGUAGUAGCAGAUAACGUUGCUUGAAUCAUUGUUACGGUUAUCAGUAGUCUUGUUUCCUCUUUCCCUAUUGUUGGGCCUCAUUGCAUAGUAAUUUCCCCCUCCUUUGGUAACAAGAACAUUAUUUUGCUGAAUAGGUGAUGUAUUUUCAGUGCGUAGAACUCUACUGAAGACGUCUUGAAGAGAGGGAAUUUCAGAGCUAGAGAGAAUUUGAGAUUUGGAAGUCUCGAAUUCAGGAGGAAGACCAGCCACAAAGCUCAUAACCCCCAUUUGCUCCCUUUGAAUUUGCUAAACUUUGACAUCAGUGCUGAAUGGCAAUAGCAUAUUAAGUUCUUCAUACGUCCUUUUGAAGUCCAUGAAAUAAGCUGUGAGGGACUUGGUUUUCUUUUCAGCACGGUAAAAAGCCUUACAAACUUAAUAAAUUCGUGACACAUUUCCUUUGCCAGAAUACAAAAACUCCAGAUAGUCCAUUAGCUCUUUUACAAAUUCGCAGUGAUUAAUUAAACCAAUUACCUCACUAUCAAUAGAAUUUCUGAUUUGUAAAAAGAGUUUUGCAUCUUCUCACAACCAACUUUGUUUGGUAUCAUCUUUAGGUGGAUCUUUAUUUAAGUGAUCAUCUUUGUCUAUGCUCCGUAAAUAGAUUCUAAUCGUCUUACUCCAUUCCAGAUAAUUAGUGCUAUUCAAUUUAUGUUCAGCGAUUUUGGACAUCACUGGAAUGAUCUGGCUCACAGAUCCCUUGAACUCAGUCAUCGUUCAAUUAUCCAAUAAUAGGCAGAUUGAAAGACUCAAUUAAUCCAACCCAAACAAAAGUCCACAAAUAAUCCACCAAGUCUAACAGCCCAAAGUUAAAAUAAAUAUAUCCAAUAUGGCCCAAUUAAAUAGAUCACGUAUGUAGAGCCCAAUAGAAUAUAAGUAACGAACUCACCAGAAAUUAGCCAAAGAAAAUCUCGUAAUUCAAACCCAACAGAGACGACCGACCAGAAUUUUCCAUCCAGAAGCCAAGACUGUGUGUCUGGGUUACUCCACUAGGGUCACCGGAGAUAAAAAAAAAUUGUCCAAAAUCCACAAAACAGCGUCACAAAGACGCGAACCAGAGGCGAAAUCGCACAGUGAACCUGGAACGCAGACUCCAACCCAAAUAGAGACCGAGGGAUUCAGAAUGUGCCCAGCAACCCAAUUGAUCUGUUGGCAGAAAAACCAAACUGCCGGCAAUUAGGAGUGAAAAACCCAGAUGUCGGAAUCACAGAUGAUGCCGCCAGAAAUCCGGAGGCAAAGGGCUGACCACAGUGACCCUAACACAUAAAGAUGUCGCCUAAUUCAAAGAACCGAACUACGGGUAAGAUGGUUCAUGGCUCUGAUACCAUGUAAUUGAAUAGAGAGCUAGGAAUUUUUCUGUUAUAUUAUUUAUUGGAAAUCACGAUAUAUAUACAUGUACAAUCUCUCUAAGGUAUGCUAAUCUCUCUAGUUAAUUACGUUAAUUUAGCUACUGAAAUUAGGCUAAUUAGAGACUAAUUAGGCUACUGUAAUUAGGCCUAAUUAGAGACUAAUUAGCUCCUAAUUUUAGCCUAUUAUUCUGUAACAGAGCUCAAAGUGCUGAUGAGAUGUCAGUUUAGGUCUUCACUAGAAGGCACCUUGGAGGAACGAUUCCUUGCUCUUCGGUAGGAUCGGUCAGUGAUGGAGUAUAGGAUCGCCUUCGAGUUAUUGGCAGCGCAGAUCGGAGAGAUUUCUGACGCCAUCUUAGAGGGCAAUUUCAUAAAUGGGCUCAGACCGGAAAUAAGGGCCGAAAUUCGAGUGUUGAGGCCUAAGGGUUUAGAACAGAUUAUGGAGCUAGCCCAACGAAUUGAGGAGAAAAAUCUGAUGUUGCAGGCCUGUUUUGGCAGACUUGACCCAAUAAGAAACAAGGUCAUUUCUAAUCCAAAUUGGCAAAAUCCCCAACCCCGACAGAAAAUUUACAACAGCCCAAGCAUCAAUUCGCGAGCCAUGAUGUCGAUCGAGCCCAGAAAACCCCUUCGUACAGAUGCCGCGACUUCCAAUUUUAAAAAGCUCAGUGAAGCAGAGCUCAAGAGCAAGCAUGAGAGAGGACUUUGCUUCUGCUGUGAUGAGAAAUAUUCUAUUCGGCACUAAUGUAAGUACAAGGAAUUACAGGUUUUGCUGGUUCAUGAUGAGGAGGUAGAUGAGGGGUUGGAAAUUGAGGGGUUGAGCGAUGAAUUGGCUGAAGGAAGGCAGACCAUUACAGGUGAAGUGGUGGAGUUGUCCAUGAACUCGGUGGUAGGACUCACUCUGCCUCAAACCAUGAAGGUAUAAGGGAAAAUUUCAGGUCAAGAGGUGGUAGUACUAAUUGAUUGUGGAGCUAGCCACAAUUUUAUUUCGGCUGGACUCGGCUGGAUUAGUACAGAAGUUAGGUUUACCAAGAACAGAUACAAUUGGAUAUGGGGUGAUUAUGGGUACAGGUAUGGCGGUGCAAGGAGCAGGGGUGUGCAAAGGAGUGCAUCUAUCUCUCCAAAACAUUGAAGUGGUUGAAGAUUUUCUUCCAUUGGACUUGGGGAGUUCCGACGUGAUUCUAGGGAUGAAGUGGCUAUCCUCAUUAGGGCCAACAAAGGUUAACUAGAAAAAUCUUACAAUGAAAUUCUAGGUUGGCGGUAAUACCAUGAAUUUGCGAGGGGAUCCAAGCUUGAGUAAGACUUUAGUCACCUUGAAAGCUAUGAUGAAAGCAUUCAAGGAAGGUGGUGAAGGUAUGCUUCUUGAAUUAGGCAGUAUGGGAGUCGAAGUUGGAAGAGAACAUGGUGAGCCACCAGCAGAAAUUGUAGAGGUGUUGAGUGAAUUUGGGGAGGUUUUUGAAGAACCUAAGGGGCUGCCGCCACAACGAGGCAAGGAUCAUGCCAUCCACUUGCAACCAGGAACAAGCCCGAUUAGUGUGAGGCCAUAUCGCUACCCACAUGUCCAGAAAAAUGAGAUCGAGAAAUUGGUAAAAGUGAUGCUAGCUGCCGGAAUUAUCAGGCCAAGUACCAGUCCAUUUUCGAGUCCAGUAUUAUUAGUGAAGAAAAGAGAUGGAGGGUGGCGCUUCUGUGUAGAUUAUAGAGCCGUAAACAAGGUGGUGGCGAUACCUGAUAAGUUUCCCAUUCCGAUGAUAUACGAACUGUUGGAUGAACUACAUGGAGCGACGAUCUUCUCUAAGCUCGACUUAAAGGCUGGCUAUCAUCGAAUUCGGGUCAAACCGGAGGAUAUCUUGAAGACAGCGUUCAGAACACACGAAGGGCAUUACGAGUUCUUGGUGAUGCCAUUCGGGCUAACAAAUGCACCCACCACAUUUCAGUCACUGGUGAAUGAAGUGUUUAAAGAACAGUUGAGGCGGUUUGUUCUUGUGUUUUUUGAUGAUAUUUUGGUAUUCAGUCGAAGUCUAGAGGAUCAUGUGAAGCAUUUGAGGGAGGUCUUGCAGCUGUUGAAACAACAUCAAUUGUACGCCAAUUGCAAGAAAUGUAGCUUCGGUCAACCAGAAGUAGAAUACUUGGGGCACUGCAUUUCAUACCGAGGUGUGGCCGCAGAUAAAUCGAAGAUUCAAGCUAUGGUAGACUGGCCUAGUCCCAACUCAUUGCGAGAGUUGAGGGGAUUUUUGGGGCUCACAGGAUAUUAUCGCCGUUUUGUGAACGAUUAUGGUAAACUUGCAUGGCCAUUAAUAGAAAGGUUACGCAAGGAUAAUUUUUUCUGUGAUGAAGAAGCAGAUCAAGCAUUUAAAACACUAAAAACUAGGGAUGGCAAUCGGGCUCGCCGGCUCGGGCCGCCCGUGGCUCGGCUCGGGAAAAGCUCGAGCCGGCUCGGCUCGAGGCUCGGUAGACCCGAACCUAAGCUCGGGCCGAGCCCCAUUUUGGGGACACGGGCUUUGCCCGAGCCGGCCGGUGAGCUCGCGAGCUUUUUAAUAAAAAAAAAAAUUAUAUUUAAGGCAAAACUGCUGCCUUUUAAAGGCAGCAGUUCGCUGCCUUAAUUUAAGGCAGCAAGCUGCUGCCUUAUAGGCAGCAAAACUGCUGCCUUUUAAGGCAGCAUGAGGUUAAAAAAAAAAAAAAAAAAGAGGGAGAAAACGAGCCUGCCCGGCUCGGCCCGUAAAAGCCCGAGCAAAAGCUCGGGCCGAGCCUAUUUUUUUGGCCGAGCUUUUGUUCGGCCCGACUCGAGCCCGCAAAAAAGCUCGGUUAUUUUAACCGGGCCGAGCCCGAGCCGAAACUUUAGGCUCGCGAGCCGGCUUGGCCCGGCUCGUUUACAUCCCUACUAAAAACUGCCAUGACAUCAGUACCAGUCCUCGCCCUUCUGGACUUCAACCGUCCCUUUAUAGUAGAGACAGAUGCUUCAGGCUUUGGCUUGGGGGUUGUACUAAUGCAAAACCAACAUCCUAUUGCGUACUAUAGCUGUGUGCUCAAUCCAAAGGGGAAGGCGAAGUCAACUUAUGAAAGGGAAUUGAUGGCGAUCGUGUUUGCAAUUCAAAAGUGGAAACACUACUUGCAUGGUCACAAAUUCUAUGUGCGAAUGGAUCAAAAAAGUUUGAAAUUCUUAUUGGAGCAACGAGAAGUAAACUCGGAAUAUUAGAAGUGGCUACUUAAAUUAAUGAGUUAUCAAUUCGAGGUUCAAUAUCGGCUGGGAAGGGAAAACAAGGCUGCUAAUGCCCUUUCCUGUGUUAGCUCUUCCACCGAGUUAAUGACAAUGUCGGUUCCUGCAGUAGUACAACUAGACACUCUAGCAAAAGAGGUUCGGACGAACUCACAGCUACAAACUAUUAUUCAAGAACUCAAGCAAGAUCCUUCUAGCAGGCUAGAUUUUGCUCUGGUAAAUGGCCAGCUGUUGUUUGAAGGACGUUUAUUCCUGCCCAAGGGGUCAUCAUUGAUCCCAUUGAUGUUACAAGAGGGUCACGACAGCAAGAUUGCUGGACACUCUGGCUUUCGAAAAACUUAUAGUCGUAUCGCUGAGAAUGUCUAUUGGGAGGGGAUGAAAGCUGAUAUUCAGCGUUAUGUGAACCAAUGUGCAGUUUGUCAACAAAACAAGUAUAUUACACUAUCACCGGGAGGCUUGUUGCAACCUCUUCCGAUUCCUAAUCAGGUUUGGGAGGACAUAGCAAUGGAUUUCAUUGAAGGACUACCGAAAUCAAGCAACAUGGAUACAAUCUUAGUAGUGGUGGAUAGAUUAAGCAAGUAUGGGCAUUUUAUAGGGCUUAAGCACCCUUUCACAACGGCAAGUGUGGCUGAAGUUUUUGUUAAAGAGGUGGUGUGACUACAUGGGGUACCUCGCUCCAUUGUAUCAGAUAGAGACAAGAUCUUAGUCAGCAAUUUUUGGGAGGAAUUAUUUCGUUUGCAAGGUACUAAGCUCAAUCGUAGUACUGCUUACCAUCCCCAAUCAGAUGGACCUAAAUUGCACCCUAGAAACAUAUCUUUGCUGUUUUGCUUCAUCACGACCCAAAUCUUGGUUCAGCUGGUUACCUUGGGCCGAGUUAUGGUAUAACACAUCCUUCCAUACAGCAAGCAAGACGACUCCUUUCCAGGUCGUCUACGGGCGCAAACCUCCUGCUCUACUGAAGUUUGAAAAAGGAUCCACCCCAGUUUCAGCAAUAGAGCAGCAACUCCUUGAAAGGGAUCAGGUUUUAGAGAAAUUGAAAGCACAAUUAUUGCAAACUCAAGCAAGGAUGAAAGGCAUAGCUGACCGCAAGAGAAGAAAUGUUCAGUUCGAGGUUGGAGAUCUUGUGUACUUGAAGAUUAGGCCGUAUCGUCGCAAAUCCUUAGCUGCGCGACCUAACGGGAAGUUAGCACCAUGGUUUUACGGUCCGUUUGCAGUUGGUCAGAGGAUUGGUCAGGUUGCUUAUAAGCUAAUUCUUCCUCCAACAUGUAACAUUCAUCCUGUAUUUCAUGUAUCCCAGCUACGUAAGACAGAAGGGGCUGUGCAGGCCGUGAAGGAACUACCUAGCCAAUUGAAUGAGGAGUUGGAAAUGUUGGUUGAGCUAGAAGCAUUACUUAGGGUGCGACCUGGCUUGGGAAGCAACAUUCGAGGCUUGGAUGUUUUAAUACAAUGGAAAGGACUACCACACUUGAGGCCACGUGGGAGCCUUACGACGUGAUCAAGCAACAGUUUCCUUCCUUUCACCUUGAGGACAAGGUGAAACUUAUGGGGGGAGGUAAUGAUAGACCCGCAAUCCAUGCAACUUACCAAAGGCGCGGGAAUUAAGGAAAAGCAGAUUGUAUAAUUUCAGCACCAAGAUUGCAUAAUUCCAGCACCAAUUACAUAAUCCCAGAACCAGUCACUUAAUUUCAGCAGCACCGAUUACUCAAUUACAGCAAUAAUUAGGGAGGAAAACCACAUAUAAAUGAGGGGAAUGAGCACGUUACUAGCAUCCAGAAAAUUGGGAGAUUCCUUGGGAGAGUGUGGACCUCUCGAAUGUCCAUUGAUCUUAUUAAUUUUUCUUUUUAUUAUUGAAUAAAGAAUCUGCUUAUCUUAUAGCAGGUUCAUUCCUUUG